Molecule: long non-coding RNA, 35554 nt
Filed under: Olea europaea (common olive)
Lineage: Eukaryota; Viridiplantae; Streptophyta; Magnoliopsida; Lamiales; Oleaceae
Description: long non-coding RNA (OEUR_LNC011874)
Source: RNAcentral
UCUCUCUCUCUCUCUCUCUCUCUCUCUCUAUAUCUAUAUAUAUAUAUAUAUAUAUAUAUUAUUUAUUAUUUAUUUUUACUUUUUUUCAGACACAAAAAAGUUUACACAUGGUGUUGGUGGGGUGAGUUGGCCCUGUGUUAAAAAAUAGAUCUGUAUGGUGGCAAAGAUAAUGCAUUGGAGGUAAUGGAGUUGCACUGCAGUUAAUCUAUUUGGUGGUGGUGGUGAGGUGUUGGCAACAUUUUGAGUACUGUGCGAUGGCAGUAGUGUUAUAUUGUAGUUGACGAGUUUUGUGAUUAACCGUGUUAUACGUAACCAAAAUUAUAGUCUGUGACCAUACUUGUGUUAUAUGUGACUAACUGUGACCAGAUCGUCUGUGACCAAGUGAAUGUGUCACUGACAUAUGUUGUCGAUGACUAAUUGUGAUCAAAUUUGUAUUCAUUGUGACUAUCUGUGACCAAUUCAAUAUAUACUGUGACAAUUUGUGAUCAAGUCACAAUCGAUCACAGUUAAUACAGAAUUAGUCACAACUUCCACAAUAAAUACAUAAUUGACCUCAAAGAGUCACCAUAAAUAAAUCUUCACACACCACAGCCGAGUACCACAAUCCACUACCAAUCACUACCACCUUCACCUCCAACUUUACUACAUUUACUGACAUUUGUUAUCUGUGACUAAUUGUGACAAAUUUUAUCUUCAGUGUGACUAUCUGUGACCAUAUCAGUCUAAUUUGUGACUCUAUGUAACCAAAUCAUAUAUAGUCAUAGUUAUUAUAGAUCUAACACAGACAGUCACAAUGAAGAUAGACUUUGGUCAUACUCGAUUUUCCUUGUCACUGUCAUCACUCCCAACAACAUCAAUCAAAUGCGCACCACCAUCACUUUCAACAAAUCCUAACCAUCACCACUGGCAUCACUGCACCGGACCACACUACUACCAAUACAACCUAAUAGCAUUGCAAACAAUGCCAGCACCAUGACCAAGACCACCACCGCCAAAUUCAACAAAAAUCGCCCCAACCACAAUAUCUCCCUCCACUGCCACCAACAAAAAUCAGUCGCCAUCAUAUCCAACAAAACCACCGCCUCAAUACCACUCCCACCGCACCAUUACCACAGUUUGAAAAGAUCUCAUGCUCGAUUGCAUGAACAAAAAACACCAAAAAUUAUGACCAACCACCAUCAAAAUCGACGAAAUUCCAUAUCAUUGGAUAGCCCUCACUCCCCUCUACACAUAACCCAACACUAGCCCUCACGCCACCAAAUUUGGAUAGAAUCAAUGGCCAAAAUCACCUUCCAUGCCCUUUCCAUAAUACCAGUUGACUAUACUCAUUAGGGCAACUAACGCGGAGUCCCUUGUGGGUCACCGCUUCGAUCGCAUGAUUCAUCAGCUUUGAAAGGCGUUAGCCAUCUCCCAACGCAUCGUCCCCUGUGGGUCAGCACACCGAUGGUAGAUGAGCUCUUCACCUAGCUUUACAAACCUCGGCGCAACUGACGCGGAGUCUCUUGUGGGUCACCGCCUCGGUCGCACAACUCAUCAGCUUUGAAAGGCAUUAGCCAUCUCCCAACGCGUCAUCCCCUGUGGGUCAACGCACUGGUGGCAAAUGAGCUCUUCACCUAACUUUACAAGCCUCGGCGCAACUGACGCGGAGUCCUCUGUUGAUCACCGCCUUGAUCGCACGUUUUCUCAGCUUCACAAGGCUUUAGUCAUCUCCUAACGCGUCGUCUCCUGUAGGUCAGCGCACGAUUGGAAGAUAAGCUCUCCGCCCAGCUUCAUAAGCUUCGAUGCCACUGACGCAGGGUCCCCUGUGGGUCACUGCCUCGGUCUCACGUUCCCUUAAUCUUUAUGAAGUGCCUUCCCCAAAUGCGUUGUCCCAUUUAGGUCGAAACAUCGAUGGCAAAUGUGUUAUUCUCCCUGCAGAAUCACCUCAUACGACUCAGCGAAACAUGAAAGCCCGUCACUAAACAACGAAUGAUCAACCCAGAGGACGGCCCGCCCACAUCACCUCGAUUAUCACUUGCCUCAACCAACAGGUGUUUAGCACAUCUGCUCACUUCACCCUUUUACUCUAGCACCUCAUCAGAAUCCACAGUACUUACUCCAAGGCCGACAUACAUAGUUGGGAAAACAAGUCCACCCAUGAUAUGAAUAUUCAUGCCUGAACUUGGGAGGACCACUGUUACGUCCCUAACCAAGCCACUUCCACUUCGGCACUAAAACCACUUCGACAGAAAGGCACAUCAUUCUCCAAAGCUCUACGUGUCCACCCGAAGUGGUUCCAAAGAGAUACCAACCACUUCGAAACAAAGUCACAUCACUCUCCGAAGCUCCACGCGUCCACCCGAAGUGGUUCCGGAGUGAUGCCAAUUCCUAUCAACCUCAACAUGACGCACUGCAAGGUGAAUAGAUCCAAUGAAGCAACCGAAGUGUCCCUCAACGCCGAAGUGUUGAAGGGCCUGAGGCACUCCCUUAACAGAUCCCUCCGUCGCCACUGUCAGAAAGAUAUCUGUCAGGAUCUUGACGUGACGUCUCCAUAGAUCUAGUUGACAUGACACGUCAACUUUAUGUUAACUCAACUCAGAAGAACUAAUUGCCCACCCACACUAGAUGCGGCUGAGUGACGCUAUGAGCAGACGCCUCACACCGUCAGAUGCAUACACGUGUCCCACAUCCAACGGUGUUCUACAUCUAUAAAUAAUCAAGCAAGAGACAAAGGUAAUGAAAGUUCUUAUAACUUAGCUCUCCAUACUAAGAAACAUAUAUUCUCCUCCCCACUCUCUUGCACCACUGGAGCACUGUUCCAAUCACCCAACGCUGACUUAACCGUCGGAGUGUAUGCGACCGCCACUACCACUACUGGUCCCGAUCGUGUGCUUCUGACCGUGCGUUGUUGUUCACAGGGAGGAUUACGUGGAGUAGCUACCCGUUGGCCACGUGGAGGGUCCAAAUAUCGAGGUCAACAGAUUACGAAAACAAGAUCAUCAGCAUUUUUAAUGUGCAUUAUUAGCUAACACUUGACAGUAUAACAAACAAGAUGUUUCUUUGUUUUCUUCAUUAGUAUGGUCUAACUAGCUCUUAUAAACCUUGUUACCGAACGUGGUGUUUAGACAAGAUGAUUUCCUAGCUACUAUGAAUCAUGUGACAAAAAUUGAGAAAAUUAGGAUUCUUAUCAUAUCUAGAUGCCAUGUCAUAGCUAAUCUUCUAUAAGCUAUGUUGAAAUCAUCCUCUACUAGAUUCCUUAAUAUCUGUAAAAUGUGUUUUCAAAAGUCCCCAAAGUGUGCUUUUGUAAGUGAAAAAACAUUUCUUAAGUCUCUUGCCCACUUGGCAUUCGCUGGUUGGUUAAUUCCUUUUCACAUGGAUUUAUGUUGGUUGAAGAGUGGGCUGGACAGUUGAUCUAAUUCAACAAUUGUGAUUUAGAUCCAUAUUAUUUUUUACCUUUGGCUGGACAUUUGGACUGGUGGAAGUCUCAUUUUCAUUCUCUUCGUUUUUUUUUUGGUAUCUGACGAUUUUGGGAUUUUCAUGUUCUUUAUCUCUAUAGAUCAGAUUGAUUGGUUAACUUGUCUUGUAUAUUAUAUCUUGGCCUUGUUUGUGGCCUUAGCUCUACUGUAGAUUCCGAUUGUGGUGUUAUUUGUGUAUAUACCACCUUGACCAGAUGUUGUUUUUGAGGUUUUUUGUCCGAUGUUGAACUGUAAAGGGUUAUACUACACUUGUAUUUGGGUAUUGUGUCAAUUAGGCAUAGAUUAUUGUGAGAUCUUUGAAGGGUCGAUGAUCUACUGUUGAGUCGGUGGUCUGAUUGUUGUAAUCCAAACUUUUGUUCUCUCUUGAGAGGUUCUUGCACAUAGUGAUGCACUCUUACCUCUGAGCCCUCAGAGUAGGCGUUUGGCCAAACUGGGUGACCAUUCUUGGGUUGAUACUUUAUUGUUAUCUUUGGUGUUAACACACAUUUUACAAGACCUACUACCAUAAUAUCUUCAUAAUCAUUUAUAAAUUUGUAAAGUGAAGACUAAAUGGUUCAUGCAUUUAACCAGUGGUGUUGAACACCGGUAUCAACAUAUCAUAAGUCCUGUUAAAUAGAUCAUAAUUUUUUGUAUUUAAUUGAAUCUGUAAUUUAAUGUUACUAGUAUUGUCACCUAAACAAGUAUUAAAUACUAGUAGUGCCAUGUCAUGACUGGAUCAACAGGGGCCUUCGAAAAGUGGUGAACCUUACUUCACCAACCGCAAUAAGACUUGGGCCAGCUCAGACCAGUGAGUGAGCUGUUUUUUGCUCUCUUUUCGAACGAGCUAGCCUACGUCAAUUGUCCUUGUUUAAUACAACUAGGCACACCUCUGCCGCUUAGUCUUUUCAUAAUACUAAUUUAACUUUUUGUUUAUGAAAAAUUACAAUAACACUAAUCUAUCUAGUUUGUAACCACUGAAAGAGAAAUUACUCGAGUUUUGUUGAAAGAUGCUCUUUGGGAUUGGAUCAAUUGGAUGGGAAGUUCAAAAUCAUAAUCAAGAAAACUGGCCAUCAAGUAUUUGCAAAUGAGGAUAAUCCAAGAUAUUGAAUGAUCCAAGUUAAAUUUAUUAACUUCAUGCAAGAUUUAGGUUCGGAUCAACCGAAUCAAUACAAAAUACACAAAAGAUUUUAACAUUUUGAAGUAAUAACCCAUUACUGAAGUCAAGGUUCAGGUACAAGUUUACCAAGAACAAGUGUCUUUCAAAUUGACAGAUUAUACAAUGCUAUAAUCAUAGUAGACAAAUCAAGUCCUAACCAAAACGAUACCACCACUCCAAAAACACGUCCAUUCAUGUCAAGACCGAAGAUAUUAACAUUUGGCGAUCAUUCUCAGAUCAGAAAACUUCAAUUUACAAAACCUAUCAACCACUGACAAUGAAUCAACAACUAUAGAAGGUACAAGCAGCUACAAGCUAUACGACAUAUGCAAAGAAACUGCACAUACACCCAUCUCAACUAACAAAUAUUUCCCUAUUUACGCUACAUCCAAUAAGUUUGAAAGACUGUAAAAUUUCUAGCAUCAAUUUCCACCAGAUUAUGCUAUGUCCAAGUUGGAUGAACCAGAUGUAGAAGCCCCGGCUUCACCGGUCACGUUCUUUAAUUUCUGAGAAGGUAACUCACAAUAAGACAGAGAUUCUGGCACAUCACCAAUGUCUAAAUAUUCAGGAAGCUUCUCAGAAAGAUCCACAGGGGAUAGCUGUAAAAGGAAACAGGAUGAUUUAUAUCCGGCUCUAGAAAACAAGGUCUAAUUGAGUUGAAAUCAAUAAACAUAAAUAUGAUUAUCUAUUGCAAGCCCUUAAAGAGCAUAAGCUAACUGAAUAGAAACAGAGUGACAAUGAAAGACAACUCCAUUCAUUAGAGAACCAACAAAUGAACUAAUCUUAUUAACAUUUAAACAUCAACUAGAAUGGACCCAAAAUUUUUCAUCACACGAGCACUGCAAAGGAGGCUAAAUAAUAAGAACUGUGUCAAAUGCUAACAUUUAACAACUCAACAAAUCCUCUCAGAGCGAGAGAGAGAGAGAGAGAGAGAGAGCACUUGAGGUCAGUUCUGCAGCUUCAAAACAUCUGGUUUAAAAUCAUAACUAUAAGCGAAAUUUUAUUCCUAAUCCUCGCUCGAUGAUGGGUUGAGUAUGAAGGCUGGUUUAUGAUAGGCAACAUCAUCAAUAUAUAUAGUCUAAAAGAUUAACAUGUCAUCCUUCUCAUACUUCUGUCGAAAGAGUCCAUUCCUAUUCCUUUCCAGCUCAUAUGUGUCAAUUCACCUAUCGAUCUUUGUCUACUACUCUUUCUCCUGCAAUAUUCUACUAGCCUUGAAUUGAACCAUUGUACGGAAAAUCACAAAACGUAAAGAAAGCCAUCAAUUAUUUUCUGAAUGAAAUCAUCACUCCAAUGCUACUACACCAUCACAUCCCCCUACAGUUUGUUCUCAAUUAUAUUUGCUAGAUAUAAUUACUCUAAGAUCUUCCACUCAAGUUUACCAAGAAUGGACUUUCUGUCAAAAAGUAAACGCACAAUCUGUUCAUUUGAGACAUGGAAUCUGAAUAUCAGAUUACAUUAGAUAUACGCUUAAUAGCUUCAUAAACGUGCCUGUAUUUUUGUAAGAUAUCAGUUCUUUUCCUAACCUAUCCUUCAAAUGAAUGAAGUAUUAAUCUGUCUGAUAUAUGUUUUUAUUAUGUGUGAAGCAUCAUGUAUUAGGAAUGAGGCCUAACCUUCCCUCUUAGCUUUUCUUCUUCUUCUUCUUCUUCUUCCGUCUCCUGAUUCUGCAUCACUACGGCCUUCUUUUCAAGCUUAAGAACCUCGGAGAAUCACUAUGAUCAUCAAAUGACGUUCUCUUUUUACACAAUCCCUAAGUCAUCUUCUUAAGACCUUAACCAAAGAUUAAGAGCACAGCUUUAAUCUACGUUUACAAUCAACUAAACAGACAAAAUUAUAACAAAAGAAACAAAUUAAUGCAACCUAGUUCUCAAACAUCAAAACUUUAGGUAGCUCAGUGGUCAGGCCAUGAGUUUGCUCCCCAAUGGUCACCAGUUCAAAUCUCCUUAGGGUCACUGAUGUGAAUACCCGACUGUAAACUUCAGAGCCCCGUAGGAUUAGUUGAGGUGCACAUAAGCUGACCCGAACACCCAUGAUCAUUAAAAGAAAACACUAGUUCUCAAACAUCAAUUAGAGAUAGCAAUAGGAACAUGUUAUCAACCACACAUAGCAUAAAAGUUGAACAAACAACUCAAAAGGGUGAAUGCCCUUGCAAAUCAGAAAAAAAGGCCACGUGAGAACAUCUAAAAUUGGAAUGCACGAAAACAAGUGAACAACAACCUAAACCUUAUAAAUAUGGGAUUGGCUACAUGAAUUCUUUUUCAACACUAUGAAAAUCUAAAGUAACUAGAUUCCUAGAAACCACCACAACUCAAGUUGUUUUGGUCUUCACCCGUUCUAACAUGUUUGACAAAGACUACAUCUCUUUUGAACGGAGCUUCUUUAGGCCUACUAAGAUGCAUCUCAACUAUCUAAGUCAUCCUACUCUUGAUUGGUCAAAUUUUUGAUUGCAAAGAACAUUUACCUCAAGUUGAUUCAGCAUGUCAACUGCAGACUCCACAUCACAGUUACUUGUUGAAUAGACUUCAGAAAGGGAAUCCUUAGAUAUUCCAGGAAAUUUCAUCUGAAGAUAUGUUAUAUCCAUGUCAAAUUCUUCCUCAAGUGUAAACUUUUCAGCCAUCGUAUUUUGGUUAUGUGAUGAUGAAGCAUAGAGUUCACCACCACAAUGGUCCUUCAGCUUAGAAAGCUCAGCAGUUUGGAGAAUAUCAGUGCAUUGGAUAUAGCUUUGAGAAACAUUUUGGGGCUGAUAAUGUGUUAAUGCAUCCUUCGAUUGAUCUCCGAACCAGACAGCUUCAUUUCCACAAUUUGAUUCUUUUGUAGAAAAUUCAAAAUCUUCCCCUUUAUCAACUGUCCCCCUUUCAGAGAAUGGUAUGUAUGAUGUUGCAUUGGGAUUUAACUUUGAUGUUCCUGGCUUCAUGGCCGCACUGUGUAAAACAAUCGACACUGGAAAACAUAAAAAAGUAUGUCCCUCCAUUAAGAGUAUCUAACAGGUUCUUAUUAAAAAAAAAAAAAAAUCUAUUCAUUUCGCCAGGGCCAACCUUAAAAUAAAUAUAUGGUGUUGAACUUUGAAAACAUUUGCAUGGAAAUGAAUAACUCGAAAUGAAAAUGACUAGUGGCAUACUUAGAUCUUAAGAUUCAAAAGUGUCUGAUAUAUCCCCUGAUUUCAACACCAAAUAAAAGUAGCUGUGGACUAGUUUAACUGUUACAGAUACAUUCAGACCCCUGAUAAGAUAAAUAAACUAAGAAGGUCAAGUCAAGUUGAAAAUCGUGAAUGUUGACUACAGGAUUCCAUAUGCAAUGCUUGGCAAAAUCUGGGAGAUAAACUGAACUUCAACUUGACCCAGAACAUCAUGGUAUAAAUUGACACGCCCUUUUUUGCCUUUCCAAUUAUUUUUAAAAAAAAAAAAUGACCUGUCAAAAAAUUUAUUUUGUAUUUAUCAUGUCUUUGCCUCUACUUGAAUCAGAUAUUCUGAAUACCUCCAAAUAUUUUAAAAUUCGUGAUCAUUUAUUUCUUUUGUUAAAACGAGGCAUAAACAGUAGACAUAUUUUACCUUCUUACGAGGUGGAUAACAUGUAAACAAACCAAAACAAAAAUAAGAAAUUUGUCGGGUGAAUAUUUAUCAAGAGUUAUCAUAUUCAGGCAAAAUUUAUAUUUAGUUAUUUGACAAAUAGACUGCUAAAAUUAUUUUAUUCAUGUGAAUAUAGGUGAUAAAAGAGUUUAGAAUGCGAAUAACAGAUGCAGAUGAAACACAUCAGUAUUCCAAUGGCAAUGGUAUUAAUAACGGUCUGUCAAUUAUGUUAUAGAGUUUCGGUAAACACCUGGGCAUGAUAAAAGACUCAUUGAUAUUAGAAUUCUGUUUACCUAGCUUCCUCAACCCUUUCUCUCAAUAGGAUUAAAAGUAAAAAAUAUGGAAUGAGCUAAUCUUUUAGUGAAGAGAAUUCUUUUCCUCCUCUUCUUUUCUUUUUUCCUUUUUUUAGACACCUGUGGGCAGAGUAUUUAUUAAUAAUAAUGACAAGAAGAGUGCAAAGCUUUGGAGGUGGACAUAAGGCCCAACCCCCAGCUAUUGGAAACGGAAAUAAAUCUUAACCAGGAAAAGCACUGUUAAACAAAGCAUUUUUCCCCUCCACUUCAUUUUCUUCUCUCUCUUUCCCUCUUUGAUCUCAUUCAUUACUUAUACAAGAGUCGCUAUCGUUACAUAUUUCAUAUUUUCACAACCUAUCUUUCAAUAAAGGCCAACGUUCUGACCUCUUAAGAAUGGAUUUAUGAGAUAACUUUUUAAUUUCCCUUAUCCAAUAAGUUUAUCCUAUCCUAAACAACCCCACGAGUCAUUUUAUAAGUUUAUGUUUCUCAUGAGCUCAAGAUUUAUUUAUAUAUUUUUUGGGGGGGGAGAGAGGGUGAGGGUUCUUUGGCUUAAGACUUGUGACUUAAAACUUGAAAGUAGUAACAAAAUAUGAGGCAUCAUAUGACACUGAAUAUAAAGAUUCAAUUAUUCAUUCUAUUACUGUUUUGAUUUUUAUAUGUAUAGACUCAACAUUAUUUAUGAAUAUAUUCGCAAUCACAACAAAUUAUUAAAUUCUGAGUUUCAAGAUCUCAAUGAAAUGGGAACAACUAUGUGAAACUGCAUACAACGGACAAAUUUACCAUUCUACACUAAUCAGAGACCAUGUAUAUAAAUAACUUUCAAUAAAUUAUAUUGAAUUUAUAAAAAAUAUAAAUUUUAUCCCACAAUAAAUUAAUAAAAACAGUACAAUUUAUAAUGAACAGACAGAGAUCAUAACUAACCUUACGGAAACUAUCAUACUAAGGUAUCAGUGUAAACACUAACAUACACAGAGCAACGGAUAUGUAAAUAAAAGUUUUCAUUUUCUGUUUACAAGUUUUGCAAUUAAUACAUUGAGAAAUCUUAUAGAUCCAUACACUUUUUUCUUCAGUAAUCCCACUCAAAAAUCUCUCCCAGACUCGAAAUUAUGUCACAAACGCAAAAUGACACAACAAAUACCUAUACAUACAUACACGUACACAAAUAUUGACACAAGUUAUGUGCGUAAUGCGUGUAAGCACAUCCAAAAUGAAAAUCAAUGCCAAGGAUUACGUGAUCAACUUCAAUAAACCUAAAUUCAGGAGUACGACCGCACGACAUUAUGAAAACGAUCACGAAUUAAUCAAGAAGUAUUGAAGAAUCGAAAAAAAAAUUGAUUCAAUGGAUUCAAAAAAUGAUCUCGAAAUUUCUUUAAUUAUAUUAUAACAGCGAAAGUAAAUUCCGUAUAUUCCUACGAGAAAAAUAUGGACAAACUCACCAGUAAAUUCGGCAAUAAUGGUGCGAAAUUUGUUGGAUGAAAACCCUAGAUUUCGCGAUCGUUUAGACUGAAGAGAUUAUUUUCUGUAUUGGAAGAGAGAUGAACGUGAUGACGCUUUGCAUUAAAUGGAGAGGAGAGUGACGUCAUUCAGUCGUGCUGGACUAGAGCGUAGAUCAGCGUAGGUAUUCUAGCCCACAAUAAAUAGUGAGAUAUAACGCAUACAAAUACAAAUACAGAGCCCACUCUUAAAAUUGCAAUUGUUCUUGUGGUAAUCCGCAGCACAAUUUUUUUAUGUUAAAGGUAGUAGAACAUACUUUUAUCAUGAUUGCUAAAAUUAAUAUUCGUAUUUUAGAUCACACUAGGGAUGUCAACGAGUCGAAUCAAUUCACGAGCCAAAAUUUUAAGCUCAGAUUCGACUCGGAUAAAAUUUUCGAGCUUUUUUUCGAGCCCAAGCUAGCCUGAACAAAAGCUCGGCAAAAAAAUUAUGCUCGACUCAAGCUUUCGGCUCGAGCCUUUCCGAGCCCAGCUCGGCUCAGGUUUUGUUUGAUUUUGAAUUUUUUUAAUUAAAAAGGCAGCAAGUAACAUUUUAGUUGCUGCUUAUUUUUGGCAGCAGCACGCUAUCUUUAAUUUUUUUUUUAAAUUUUUUAAAUAUAUGCUUGGUUCUUUCGAGCCAGUGAACCACACGGGUCAGUUCGGAUUUUGCCAGGCACUUAAAAAUGGGGCUCAAUUUGAGUCUCAGCUCGGUUGUCUCGAGUCUCGAGUCCGACGAGUUUGAACUUUUUUCGAACCGAGCCACGGGCGACCCGAGCCGAUGAGCUCGAUUGUCAUCCCUAGAUCACACAAAGGAGCAGAGGAAAUUGAGAAAUUCACAAUCUUAAGGAAUUCAAGGCUUUAUUUCUGAUUUUCGGUUACAAUGAAGGAGGAGAAACCCUUUUAUAGGAGGAGUCCCUUACAGUUAAUCGACACAAUCACAUGGAUUAGUACAAUAAUUAGAUAAUCGAACAAACAACUUUAAAACAUAUAGAAUUCAAGAACAAUUAUUAAACUAGUGGACAUACAAUUUUUAGCUUCAUUGUUUGAGAGAGAGAAAUAAAUUCUUGGUAAUACUUCUAAAGUUGUGAAGUUCUUUCUGAAAGCUAUGAAACCAUGAUAUCAACAUUAAAACAUAUUACAAUUUGAUGUGUUUGCUAGUAUUACCAAAAUUAAUAGGUUCCACUUUAUCAUCUAUCUAAUCAAAAGUUGUGUGUUCACUAGUAUAAUAAUUGUGCUCAAGUCCUAUAUGUUUUAAAGUUGUUUGUUCGGUUGUCUAAUUAUUGUACUAGCCGAUGUGAUUGUUUCGGUUGAUUGUAGGAGACUCUUCUCCUAUAAAAGGGACUCUACUCCUUCAUUGUAAGGACAUCGAAAAUCAGAAAUAAAACCUUGAGUUCCUUAAGAUCGUGGGUUUCUAAAUUUUCUUUGCUUCUCAGUAGGAUCCAGAAUACUGAUAUUAGUUUUAACAGUCAUGAUGAACCAGUAAUUUGAGCAGUAUCAAAAGUAUGCUCUGAUAUUACCUCUCUUGAAAUUUGGCUAUUCGUUGUGGGUUAGAAUACCUCGAUUGCACUUUUCUCUAGUUAGUUUACAUGUACUGGUAAAACAAAAUAUUAGUAUAAUAAUACCAAUGAGAAAAUGUUGUCCUAAUGAAUCAGUAAUUUGAGCAGUAACAAAAAUAUACUCAACUAUUAUCUCUUUUGAGGAUCCUUAAUAUUAGAAAUUGUGCUACAGAUUAUAAGAUCUACUAAGGAAAUUUGCAAUCUUAAGAGUUAGGCCUUGUAUUCGUAUGUCUCAAAUCUAGCUAUUUGUUAUGGGUUAGAACACCUAAAUUGCAACUAAAACAGUUUUCAGGAAUCGUUCUGAAAUUUUGAAUUUGAAAGGUAAAUACAUAAGCCAUACAUUCACAAUAUAUUGAAAUUUUAGAAUUUAUCCUAUAGUAGUUUAGUCAAUGAAGUUGCACACAAGCAGAUUGUUGAGUAACAACAUCACAAUUUACAAAAUAAGGCAUAACUCAUAUCGAAUUGAAGUGAAACCAAGUCCCGUGGAUAGAUAAUUCGAAGAGAUAUCGAACCCAACUAGUCUCGAUCUCUGUCCAAAAUAAACAAUUCACGAUGUAGUUUUAAAUACACAUCAGAAUGCUGAAUUUUCCAUACAGCCAUCGACCACUCUCCAAGCUAAAAUCAUUUAGUAAAUGUAAUGAUAAAAGAGAAGGAUAAGUACAUAAAUACACUCAGCGAGUUACUUAUAGCCUAUCACAACUGAUCCGGCCAUGAAACCAUAUAAAGAAAUCAAUUACCACAUCUAAAACUGAGAAUUAUUACAUCAUGAACAGAGAUGGAUACAGGGGGGACUGGGCUGGGCUGUAGUCCCCCCCAAGGCCCAAGAAAUUUAUUUUUUUUUAUGCAUUUUUCAUUUUUUUUUUUGAAAAAACAGUUUUUUGUGUGUAAAUUUUUUUCCGGCGUAUUAGUCCGACUUGAAAUUUUGUAGCCCGAUUUUGGAUCCGUCCCUGAUCACGAAGAUGGUACUUCAUGCAAGCAUUGCAAAUUGAACUUGAAGGUUUAAACUAAGUCUGAGGGUUUAACCGAACUGAUACAAGGAGUUCAGAUUGUUAGUUUUUUUCUUUAAAAAAAAAUGAAAAAAGAACAUGACAACAUGUAAGGAACAAAUUGUGGAAUGGAAACUACCUAUAAUGUCUCACAUCUCAAAAAUUUAAUCUGAAACUUGAAAGCUAAAAUACGGAUUUAAAGGAACACCACAGUUGAAAAUUUCAACUUGUCUUGAUAAAGGUUUCCAUCUAGAACGUGUGUUAGGGAAUGUAAAAGACUUCUAUGCCACUUAUGUAUUUAAAUAAUUAAAUCACACUUAUUGAAAGAAUAUUUGCCCUCAUUUUAUGCGCACUAAUACAAUAUUUGGACAAAAAUUAUCUUUAGGGACCAAAUGUGCUAUUUAACGGAAGUUGAAGGAUAAGAGUUCGACAAAAAAAAAUAAGCCCAUAAUUAUGAUAAUAAGCAAGAUUGAAGACUUUUAACGUAACUGAAACAAUUAUAGUGUCAAUAUAGCUGCCCUAAUAAAACAUUUUGAUCAAUGAAAUUUUCCCGUUUAAUUGUUAAGAAGUCAAAUUUUGUAUAAAAAAAGGAUUUUUAUACCUUUAUUUUUUAUUUCGAAAUAUAGAUUUACAUUAAAGUAAGAAGUCACACAGUACGAAUGGAUGCAUAGGAGACUAAAAUAUUUAGUGUUUUUAUUUUUUGGUCGUGGCUUAGGCAAAUAUAUAUUUUGGCAUUUUAAUGUGUUGUGGAUAUAAAUAUUAUUCAAUUAAAUUCAUUAUUCUUUUGACCUUUUGCUACAAUUUAUUGUACCUCUACCAAACGAUAAACUCUUUGAUUUAAACAAUUAAACUAGUCGUAUUAUUUCAAAAGAAGAUGCAGAAAAUUAGUAUUUAGUGUGAACUCGUGGCUGACACUAGGAAUUUCAAUACCUUUGUACAAGAGUAAUGCUUUUGGAAUGGGUGCUUUCAUAUAAUACAAGUCAUAACUUGAUACUAGUACAAAAUAUUAUUUAUAGAGCCUAGAAAAUAAACUAGUAUUAUAGAAGGCACAUCCAAAUCAAAAGUCAAAAGAAUAAUGAAAAGUUUAAAUAGCAAAGUUUUAGUAAGGACUUCCUCCAAUAUUCGACAAGCUGGACUUUACACACACCCUUGUUUGGUAGGGGGCUAAAAUUAAUUUUUUAGUAAAUUUUAAUAAAGAGUAAUACUAUACAUACUGCAGUAAUCUUCUUAUGUAGCAAUUUGUUAUUAAAAGCAUUGACUUGUGAUUUGAAGUAACAAAAUUACAGAAAACGAAUACCCUGUUGAUGUUAACUUAAAUUGAAAUCUAAGUUUCAACCCCUACCAUACAGGGACUUAGACAUGACUGAAUAGGCACAUAAGAUGUUUGUCAAUUGUCGUAUUCAAUCCUCAUUCAAUGUACAACAAAUUGAAUUAAAACUCAAAAACACCUUAUAAGCUUAGUCAAAUAUUUGACAUGCUAGACUUUACCCGUUAGCACAUAAGAUGAUUGUCAGUUGUCAUAUUCACUCAUCAUAUAGAAUACAAAAAAUAAGCCACUACAUCGCAUACUUUAGCAUACCAUGAUAAUUCAAUCAUUUUCUAGCCUUCACUUGAAAAUUAAGAUAGUGAUAAAAUGCACCUCGAUAACAAUUUGGACAUUGGGCAUUAUAUUUGAUAGCAAGAAUUGAAAAAACCAAGCAAAAUAAAGGAGAAGAAAACACCCCUAAAGCAUGAAUAUAUGGCUACAAACCUUGCAACAAAUGUCAUGUACACUUUACAUUUACUAACAACAACAAAUUAAGUUACAUAGGUAAGCAUACAUAAAUCCUUUAUGGCCACUCUAUUUAGCUCAUUACUCGAUCAUAACAACUAGAUCCUUAUUAAUCGGAAGUUAGCCAAGUUUAGCCAAGUGAAUCAACUUCUAUACUUCCGAAAUUGCCCUGCAAAAAAAGCUUUAUAUUUCCCUUCUCAUCCUCCUUUCAUGUACUUUUUCUCUCUUUAAUGGCAAACUACUAAAAAUCUAUUUGAGUAAAAUCAAAUCAUUCAUCUUGAAACAAAGAGAAUUGAAAGAGUUUCAGAGAAAUAUGAAGGGUCUGCACUUCUUAGCUCCAACACAAUUGGAUACAAACACAAGCAAGGAGGUCAGUUUCUUGUAUGCAUUCAAUAAACUCAUCCGCGCAGCCUCCCAAUUAAUUAAUUCCGUCCAGUGAGGAUUAAGAAUGCAAGACUAAUAAGAGAGCUCAAUUAACAUAACCUUAAUGCAAGAUGUGAUAAAGCAUGACGUCCCAGCAGGCAACUUAAUCCAUCAUAACAAAAUUCGACAAAAUCGAUUGUUACAUUGUAAAAAGUACAAUUACGACACAAACUCAUAUCUGGAGUUAAAAUUAUGAAAUUAAAAAAGAACUCAAUAAGCAAAACUGUAUUAGCAUGUCCAUUUAUCAUGAAACAAGAGGCUGGAGUACGAAGAUUAUUUUGCAUGAGCAAAUAAACGAUGAGAUACCCAGCUCCAUCUGCAAUUAUUUCAAAAAACUGCCCUUAACGUGCAGGCUGUUGGUUGUAAUGAUUCUUCUCUUUCUUCUUAGCAGCAGCAAGUUUCGCACUCCUUGCAGCAGCCUCCACGGAAGCAGCUCUUGCAGCAGCAGCCAUUUCUUUACUAGAUUUCUUCUUCUUUGCAGAUGCCGCUUUCUUUAGCCGCUCUUUCAUGUCAACAGCUGAUGCAUCAUCUUCCACCUGUUCAGUUCCAGCACUUUCCUCUUGUCCAUUAGGAACAUUUGAGCUGCCUGGUUGCUCCUGCGGUUCCUUCACCCCUUUCGAAGCUUUAUCCUUCUUUUUCUUCUUCUUUGCACCUUUGGAUUCUGCAGGGACACUAUCUUUCUUUGUUUCACCAUUCAACUCUCCCUCUUUCUUUUCUUUUGUAGCAUCUGCAAGUUUGUAAAGAAACGAGGCAUUUAGCUGGAAAGGUUAUCAUUUAAAAUAUCUCUGACAUUAUAGUCUCACCAAUGAUAGUCAAUUUUUACUAAAAAGUACCACUAGAGAGAAUGAAUUCAUGAAAGUCCACAUUGAUGUCUCAAUAAGAUGUAAAAUUACCCAAGAAACAAUAAAAUCAAGCCACAAGGACCAGACAUGAAGACAGCAGAUCAAAAAGCAUAUUUAUGAAGAAGAAAUCUUAAAAUAAAGCUGAUUCUAGCAAAAGAGAAAUAAAAGGUUUUCAUGAAGACAAGGAGAUACACAAUUACCAGAUGAUUGAUCAAUGACCUUCUCGUUUGGGGUAACACCAAAAUUAGCCAAAAUAGCCUCCAGUUCGGCCAUCUCUUUUUUCUUUCUCUCCUUCUUAGAUAGUUGCCUUUCUGUCUCUUUAGGUGCAGGUGAAGCUUCUGGAGGUUCUAUCGGUUCUAGCUCGGGCUUUUCCUGCACUUGCAAUUCAUGCCCGCGUUCCUCCUCCUCCUCCUCCUCCACAUCAUCAGCUUCAUCAAGAUCAUCUUCACUUUCACUUUCCUGCAAUUCCAACAGACAAUCAUAUUAACUUACCCAAUUUAUCUCAAUUACAUUCAUCACCUAAAAUUCCAUGAAUGAUAUGAAAUCUAGCCAGGAAAUACAUUGAAAACCUGGGAUCUCAGAUUUGCAAAUAAUGUCAUCUUCUGGGAUUUCAUCUUACCAGAGGAAAAAGAUUUAGGCAAUUGGAUAUAGGGCAGUUCUACUAACUACAAAAACCAGUGACAUAAUGAUUGGCUCUAUUGUUGCUCACGAGAGUGAGGCGAUCUCUGUGUAACAUGUUCAAAGAGGGAAAGGUAGACCAACAUAGUUUGUCGCAGUUCCUAAGUAUCUAGUCUGAAAUAUACUUAUAAGUUAGCACUGUUAAUGAACACAAACAUACAGAGAGAGGAAGGGAGAGAGGCGUGGAGUUAGGAAAUAUAAAUUCUGCAAGGAAGGUUAUAAAUCUUACACUAACAAUGUAUUUCUUGGUGCAUUCUUCUUCAGUAAUCUAAAACAAUGAAUUUUUUAUUAUAUUCAAACUUCAGUAACUUCUUUUUGAAUGGUAUAUUAGCCAUUUAAAGGAAAAAAUUUGAUGCUAUUCAUAACAAAUAUUGAAUUGGACAUCAACUUAAGUUAAUUUUAGAAGGGCAUAUAACGCAUUUAAAGAAAAAAUCUCAUUCUAUCAGCCAAAAAAUAAAAUAACUGCUUCCUUACACUUAUUAAGAAAGUGCUAUUUCCAAAAACUGCAUCACACACACACAGAGAACAUUAGAUAAGUAUAUAGAUUAAAACUUGGCUACUAAAUCAUGGUCAGGGAAUAUAAAAUCUAAUGGAAAGGAUAAAUAUUAAAGAGCAAGAAAGAUAAGCCUAAUGAAUGUACCGAUUCACUAUGGGAGCCUUUACCAAAAACAUCAAUUGUAAACAUGUCUUAAUGAUCCAAUUAAGGGGCAAGGUCAAAUCAAUAAUUUCAACGGCUUACAGCUUAAUCAACUAAAUAUCCCAGAAGUAUCAGAUGUAUCAUGAUUGAAGGUAUAAAUUACUUGCCGUAGCACAAAACACUGAGAAUCAUCCAUUCACCUUUCCCAGUUUUUUUUCCCCUCUUUUCUGUUCAACACCGAGAUCGUGUCUCUUUAUAAAACAUGAAAGAGUAUAUACACAACAGAUGGUAGGGGAAGGAUGACAGUGCAUAACAUCAAGUCAUAAUUAUUCAACACACAUUCCUAUUAUCUAUAUAUAAACUGCAUAAAUUUCGUUGCUUAGGCAAAAGAUGGUAAACACAAGUACAAAAGGGUAAGAUAGUGAGCGCAGUUUGGUUUGGGUUGGUUUUGACUCUAACCCGAAACCAAAACCAAUUUAGUCUGUUUGGGUGAAUUUCAACCCCAACCAACCCACUAUAACUCUUCAACAAAACCAAACCAAACUGAUUCAGUUCGGUUAAUCGGUUGGGACUUUUAGUCCAACCUGAAUUUUUUUUAAAAGAAAUUUGUCCGAGUUUUGGGCCCAAUAAAAUUAUAAGAACUAAAAUAAUUAAAUAAUUUUAUAUUACAAAAAUUAUAGACUAACAAAUAAAAUCAAGUUAAAGAGAUAGAUCAAUAGAAACUUAAGAAUUUUGUUACCUUUUUAGGCAUUAUGUAGUCUGACUCCCUGAGUAGGAAAAAACUAAUUACAACAUAAUGAGCUUAUGAAAGAAAAUUUUUAGUACUAUUACUCACCGACAACAUCACCGAUUGGAGAGAAGCGUGAUAUAGUUAUGAGAUUAAGGCUUCUCUUUUGAUUUUUAUUUUUCUUUUAAAAAAAGAUGAACAUGUAAAUAAAUUGGUUGGUUCGGUUAACCAACAGUUUGAGGCUUCAAACCAUGAGUAAACCAACCCACCAUGAUUUUGUUUAAAAGAAAACCAAACCAAAUCAAUUACUUGUGUCAAACCGACCUGAGUCGGUUCAGUUGAUUGGUUUAAUCGGUUUUUCAGUUAUUUUGCCAUAGCUCCUGGCAUAAACACACACAUAAACACCAAAAGCAACACCAAACUAACUGGAUUCGUUCAGAACAAUCAUCCACCGACAAUAUAAAUGUGAUAAAUCCCAAUCAAUAAUUUCGUCAAAUAAAGGGGAAAAAACACACAAAUAAUAUAAACAUCAGUCUAUAUAUUUACCUCAACGUGAUCUGGUUGCAUAGUUUUUUCAGUUUGAUUCAAACCCGAACCUCCCCAUACAGACUGAGGUGGGGCAGUGGUGGCAAAGUAAUCAUCAUCAUCUUCAUCAUCCACAUCAGCCCAUGACUUCACUGUCAAAGGCGCAGGAGCCCAGUAAACCUGAGGCUUCUCCUCAGGUUCUUUCGAUUUCCCAGCCUCAGAUUUCAAACCGCUCUUACUGCUUUUCCUCAAGCCCUUAUCCUUAUCUGACUUCUUCUUCUUCCUAAAAUUAUCAAGCGCCGCAAAAACAUUGUUAUUAGUCAUCUUAAACGAUCCCUCGUCCCUCCGAUUCCCACCUCCAACCAUUUUCUAUUUUUUCUAAUAGGCAAGAAAAUUGAAUAAUUUUUCGAUGCGAUUCGUAUUCCCGGAAUCCGAGAUACUUAACAAUCCAAAAGAAUAAACAAGAGAAAACACAGAACAACGCACAAAAGACACAAAAAUUUCAGACUAAAUCGAUUUAGAACCCAAUUUCUAUAUAUUUGCGGAACGAAUACCAAAUAUCAAUAACCCGCAAUUAUUCACGAAAUUCGAUUUUCUUCGAGUGAUCGACAAAUUAUGAAUCGACAAACACAACUAGAAUUACGAGAAAACUAUGGUUUCUAGAGAGAGAGAGGGAGGAUUUUCAAAAUGCGAGGCUAGGCGAAAAUUCGAAACAAAGAAUCGCUACCGUAUAUUUUCAGAAUGAGUGAGAACGCGAGGAUUCUUCUUAGAGGAGAAGGAAAAAGGGCCACGAGAUCACGUUUAUAUACUUGUGGUUUAUCGAGGAGAGGCGUAUUGUCCGACCCACAAGACAAUCGGACCGAAUAGCCGGUUUAAUUCUAAUUAAAGCAUUAUUGAUUGUAUUUAUUGAUUCUGGUACGUGGUUAUAUAAUUGGAUUAAGCCCAGCCACUGUAGCAACGAGCCCCAUUUGAAAAAAAAUAGCAAGGGGCACAUCGUGUGUAUUCUCACAAGGUCCCCGUACGUCAAGUAGCGUCCUAUAAAAUUAUUUUAUUUAUAGUUAGUCAUUCUCUGUUGGGAUAGCUUUUCCCAUUUACACUAAUUUAGGUAUAUUGAAAAUAGUACACUAGGGAUCGAGUCAAAAUGGAACUGGUCAGCUUUGGUUUUAUUCAUUUACGGAACCAUGCUAGCCAGAAAAAUUUCACAGGAUUUUUCCACAGAUAAACACAUGACAGAAUUUCACUUAGGGUCCGUUUGAUUGCAAAUGUGAAAUUUGGGUGGAAAGAAAAUGAAUUCCAGGGAAUUCAAUUAUCUAGAAAUUGUUUUCCUGGAAAUUGUCAAUUGAUAGUGUUUGAUUGGUAUAAUUUUUCACGUGGAAAAUGUUGAAAUAAAGUGUUUUUUAGUGUUCGUUUGACUUUGUUUUACAUGAAAAUUGUCAAUUUAAGGGAUAUCCACUUCUACCAUUGUUCCUAGAAUUUGUUUUCAUUGCCAAUUUUAAAUAAAAAUUUUCAAUUAAAAGAAUAUUCUCUUUUACAAUUAUUCAUAGAAUUUGUUCCCAUUGUCAAAAAAAAUUUUAAAAAAAUAAAAUAAAUAAAAAAUUGGGUGGAAAAUCCAAAUGAAGGAAAACAAGGUCACGUGAGGGGAGGGGGGAAUUCAAAUUCCAUGGAAAAUUUGGACAAUCAAACACUUUAAAUUGAAUGGACAUUUUCCAUGGAAAAUGGAGUAAUCAAACAUACUCUUAUUUCAAUCAAAUCAAACAAAAAAAUGCACCACACAGAUGCUGGCAACUGAGCAUUUGUAUGGUGCCUGUAAACUGUUUCUUGUACGCAGGAAAUUGUUCUUUUAUCUCUAUACAAUCAUUACGUACAUGUGUCGUAUAGGGAAUUGUUCUUUUAUAUCUAUACAAUCAUUAUGUACACGUGUAAGUUCACUAUUACUGUCGAAUUUUUGUUAAAUCAAAAACUCAUGAUUUAGAUCCGAGAAUGCCGAAUAUGUGUGCAUAAAAUGGUUGUGGCUGUUUCCUUAUAUUUCAAUGUAAAUGUAAUUAAAUGGAAGAUAAAUAAAAUAGUUUAUUUUGUUUACGAUUUCAUAUUACCUUGAGGGCCUAUAGAAGGCUAUAUUUAUGAUGAUCAAAUGUCUCACGUGAUACUUGAUUGUGUUCGAUUUUUACUUUUAAACUCAUUGUCUAGUCCUAAAUAUUUAUUCCGUGAAAUACAUUCUUCAAUAAUUUAUGGUUUGGGCUCCUCAAUCUUCCACAUGAUGUAGAUAUGAACUCUCAACCUUCUAAAAUUUUACCAAUUUUUAUAUUGAUCAAACUUCAAUUUUAACCACAGUUUUUAUCAACUUUGGACCCCAUAUACCAUCAAUUUUUAUCAAAUAAAAGUUUUGUGAAACAAUUAGGCAAUAUUUGUUGGAAAUUAUUUAGGAAAAAUAAUAUUUUGAGUAGUAAAUUUUUUAGAAUCUUCGUUUAAAAGGUACAAAGUUUUAAGCUUACGUGCAAAAUAUUUUAUUGUGUAAAUAUUUGGUUAAAAAUGAAUAUGUAAAAACGAAAUCUUAAACAAAAGGCCAUCAAAUAGUGACUUAGAUUCCAACGCAAUUGAUACCAUCCAUAUGAAGUUAAAAAUCUCAAAUGAUAGUUAGAGGACAAAAUUAUCAAACACUUAAAAACUUUUUUUCAAAUUCAACUGAAAGUUACAUGCAAUUUUAAGGUUUAAAUUGACAAUACACUACUCAAGGAUGAAAAAUCUGUGAAUUCACCUCGUCAUCUUUGCCAGUUAAAACUCCUUUUGUCUUGCUAAUAUGAUGUUAAAUAAGGAUUGAACAGGAUAUAUUUGGAUGUACAAGGAUUGAUAGAGUUUCAAUAUAUUGGGAAUUGAACAAAUUUCGUUCUCUAACUAUGUUAUGAAAGUAGAAGGCAGUAUUACUAGUUAGGAAACUUUAACAUUCUCACACAAUCAAUACGAUCCGUUAUUCGUUUUUUCCAAACUAUAAACAAGUGCAUGAAUCAUCUAGGCACAAAACAAUUAUUUUUCUAUCCAAACCACAAUUCACAAACGUAUAAUAAGUUCAAAAACAAUAAAUAAAAGAAAAAACAACGAAAAAAUGGUAUGAAUGAGAAUCCAAGACUUAUCGAAAAAAAUGAGAGAAAGAGGCAAUUCAAGUAAAAAUUCACAAACAGUUAUUUUUCUAUCCAAACCACAAUUAAUGAGUGUAUAAUAAGGUCAAAAACAACAAAUGAAAGAAAGAAUAACGAAAAAAUGGUUUGAAUGAGAAUUUGAGACUUACUGAAAGAGAAGAGAGAAAAAGACAAUUUAAGUAAAAAUUAGCAGACAAACAGCAAAUGAGACUGACAAUUCGUUCACAAGUGGUAGACAAGCGUCAAAUGUUAGGAAAAUGAGAGUUUAUGUUAGGGCUUCUGAAACCUUGUAUGUAAUUUGCUGACGUAGUUUUAUUGAAUUAUGAUUGGAUUGUUGAAAGUGCCUAUAUAUAUUUUUUUCAUUUUAUAUAAUUUUGGAAUAAUUUUAGUUUAGUUUAAAUAUUAGAUGAGGACGUGUGUCGUGAACUUGUUAAAUCAUAGACCAAUAAUGAUAAAAAUAAUUUACUUUCUAUGAUUAUUUCAAUAGGCUGGUUGUAAUUUGUAUUAUUAAAUUGAUAUUUUUUUUUUUGAAAAGUGAAAAUCGUAAAAUUUUAAGUUAAUAAAAUUAAUGUUUUAUUUAAAAAAUUUUAAAACAGUUCUGUGAGAUUUUGUGCGCUUUUUGAAAAUCUAAAUCUAAACCAAACCAUUUUGAAACUGUUUGGUUUGGUUUGAGGGAAAAAAAUCACAGGUCCACGUGGACUCAAAUCAACGGUUUCAACUCAACAAUUUUGGUUUAAUUUGCAAUUUCGCGAUUUCUUUUUGUAGCCCUAAUAUUUUUCAUAAAAAAUCUGUCAAUCUAACAAGCCAAUUCUACCAAUCUUUGCGUGGGAACUGAGCAGUUUAAAAUCACAUUUUCACCAACCUUCUGUUACCAUUUCCCAUCGUCCACUUCGAAUCUGAACCAAGAAAGUUUGGCCAAAAUGUAAAGAAAAUAGCGAAAAUGGAGGAGGAAUGAUCAUUAGACUCAAAUUAUAAUUAUGGUAAUUGGUAAACGUUACGGGGAUCAAGGAUAUGAUUAUGUUGGUUUGUAUUGGGAGAAAAGUCGAUUUGUGUUGUCGAUUUGUAUGCCUUUGCAAACAAAACUAGAUAAGAGAAUAAUUCAAUAAUUUUUAGAAGAUGUCGAUGGUUUAAUAUAGGCAAUCUCUGGUCAAGUAAAAUUUUCAUUAGAGGAGAUUGGGACGAUGUAUUGAAGGGUACCCCAUCAUAUGAAUUUUUUUUUUUUUUUUUUUUUUUUUUUUUUUUUUUUUUUUUUUUUUUUUUUUUUUUUUGAAGUACUUCGAGAAAUUUGAAUUGUUACGUAGCUCAAUCGCGGACUUAUUUCACAAAAACUUUACCUUGUUACCAAAUAAUGAGGUAAAAUUUAAAUUUCUCGUAAUGCCUAUUGCAUUCUCGAAAGUCUUCUCUGAAUUUUUUGUUGCUUUCAUGUUCAUCUUCUUAAUGUAGAUACCAAGAAUGGAGGCAUGGAGCAUAUAUUAAGCCUUCCUGUGCAAGAUCCUCCAUAUGCUGAGUUUUCUGCUGCUCAUCUAAAUUGGGUUAAAGUAGAAGCGGUUGUCAAGUUGGUGAUGAUAUUGCACUAAUCCCUUUUGCUAGAGUAGAUAAUUUUGUAAAAAGAGAGUCCAGUAAUGCAAAAUGUCAGCUCGCUUCUGAAUUGAUUCGAGAAGGAAGAGACCUGAAGGGGGUUUCAACAAACCAAGGGUCGACGGAUAUCUUGAAUAUACUCUGUAUGCCACUUCUUGUAAGUCGCAUUUCAUACUUGUGCUUUGUUGAAAUAUCACCUUGAACUAGAAAUUUCGUGUUAAUAAUCUGGUCUAUCAUCCAAUUUCGUUCUGAAUUAAUUCAUGCUGAAAGCUAUUUGUCUUACAUUUUUGUAACGUAUUCUACCAUUGUGAAAUCGUGUAAGAAGAAAAUUUUAGCAACUUACAUUUUUCUUGGAUUUCUUAGGUAUUGGUGUUGUUAUGGUCCUGAAGACUACAGGGAGAGCGAAUCUGGUAUUGGAGAAAACUCAAGCAUUAAACGUAAGGAAGUAGGCCUGGGAGACGACAUGUGAUGAAAGGAUGCCUUUGCCAUUUUAGGUUCGUUUUUCUAAUUAUUUUUUUGGCCUAUGAACGAUUUUAUUUCAUCCUCAACUUUUAUACAUAUUAGAAGGGUGAUUAAGGGCGUAAUGAACUUGUAAUUUGUGGUAAAUAUUAUAGGAUUAUUCUAUAUGUACAAAAUCAAUGACAAACUUGACAAGUGGUGGCCCCCUGUUGGUGGAGUGGUGGUGGGGCCAGCCGCCCCACUAACAGGGAGCCGCAACUUGUCAAGUUUGUCAAACUUUAGUAAUUGAUUUUGUACUUAUAGACUAAUCCAAUAUUAUAACACCUGAUUGUAGACCACAUUUGCAAGUACAAUGAAUAAAACAUUCUGGGAUGAGCUCUGAAGUGACUGAGAGCUUAGCAAUUCCAGAAGCUCGAGGGCCAAAAUUCUGGUGUAUUUGUCAUUUGGUACUAGCUAAUUGUCAUUUAUGCAGAACCUAGCAAGAAAGUGGGACAAAACUAGAAAUAAUAAUCCAAAGGCAAGACUUGCUAUUUACCUUCUGCUUUUCUUGAAAAUAGUGACUGACUGUAAUGCUAUUGGUAAAACUGCACAUUUUGUAAUUUUUUCCUCAAGUUUUUUCCUAUCUUUUUUUGAAAGUUGCCAAUUGGACGACCCAGGUAAUCUCGUAGCGGAAAAUAAGACUAAGAAAAGUAAAAGAAAAAUCCCUAAACAUAAAAGAAGGGAGUUAAUACUCCUUGCAUUUGCUUUAGCUUGCUGAUUUGGAAUCUUCACUAAUUUGCUUUCUUCCUUUUGACUUCUGCAAUAUGCUUUGUGAUCCCUGUUUGUAUUUGACUCUUCUCAGAAUCCUAUUACAGUUGCCUGGGUCAUUAGCUCUAGUUGACCUGGUCAAAGUAUUCACAAAUGGAUGUCAACUCUUGUUGAAAGAACCCAGAAAGGAACCAAGGUGGAAACCUUGUGGAUGAUCCUUCUGUUGAGGCUUCAGUUAUAAGGUAAGUUGCGCAGUUUGAUUCUCAGAUGUUAUAUUUCCCUAGUUGUGGAUUUGAAACUGGAAAAUUUCUGAUGCUUAUCACUUGUAGAGAAGCCUUCCAAUUCCACGUUUUAUUAUCCAUUUGGCAUGUGCGUCGUGGAUGGUUGAAAAGCAUUUUGAAAAAUUGCAGCAAUUUUGUUGUGCAGAGGGAGAUGUUUAAGCACGUAGGCAGGAUUUUGUACUGCUCGAAAAGUGGGCAAAAUGUGGUUGAUGCUGUUGAAGAGUUCGUGCAAAUAUAUGUCAAUCAAUAUGCAUUUGUAGAACAAUUUAGAAGCAAAUGGUUGCCAAAGACAGGUAUGGUCGGGUCUCAUAAGUUUUUUUAAUUUCUGGCGAGGAAACUUUGCGUUCUUUUUCUUGUUAAAAUUAUUGGCUGCUCAAGUUUAUAGGCCGGUUUUUCUUAGCCUCCUACAAAAUAUGCCAGAUGAUCCUCUAGUUCUUGAACAUGCCAUAUCACAUGUGAUAUGGUUACAACAGGACAUCAAAAGCUUGGAGGAAUUGUCAAAUACUGGAUUACUGCGGUCUUUAUCUUCUGAUACAAACUUCCAAAUGCCAGAUAAUCUCCAACCUUUUCGGCUUCAUUAAUCUGCACUCUCUGUCUGAAGUUGCAUCAUGAGGAUCCCCGAAAAUGUCAAUGUUGAAGCACAAUAUUUCGUGGGAGUAUUGCAUCGUAGGCCUUCAACCUAUUUCCUGAAUAUCAUUCUCAGCCAUUAAAGAGGAGUUAUGAGACCCCACGAGGGCAUGCAAUGAAGUAAUGAAUAUUUGAGUGGUUUUGAUUGCUGAGGACUGAUUGUGCAACUAUAAUGGAAGGUUGGCUACCAACUUGUUUGUUGGACUUGGAUCAGGGACCAACUUGCUACUUGGGUAAUGUUUGGGGACCAAUGGUGCAUUCAUCCCACAUUUAAUCUCUAGACUAGAUUUCAGAAGUGGUCAGAUUGGCAGAUUUCAGGCGCUCUUGUGAAUCUUGAAUUCUUUACAGUAGAGGUAUAUUUUCAGUUACCAUGCUGGCAGAUACUUCUAAUUGUUAUUUUUUGCAAUUAAUGUUGUUAACUAAUUAUUGGUGCUUCGAAGUUUUUCAAGCUUGUGCACAAAUUUUUUCAUGCAAUUUAUCUUAGUUUUGGAGAGCCUAUUAUUGGCUGCUCAAGUUUAUAGGCAGGUUUACAAGGUUGCAAUCUUCUGUAGAAGUCGUCAGGUAGCAAGGCCAUUGUUGGCUGCUCAAGGUUAUAGCCUUAUAGGCAAGUUUUGCUUAGCCUCCUAGAAAAUAUGCUGGAUGAUCCUCUACUUCUUGAACGUGCCAUAUCAUAUGUGACACAGUUAAAACAGGACAUCAAAAGCUUGGAGGUAUUGUCAAAUACUGGAUAACUGCAGCCAUUACCUUCUGAUACAAACUUCAAAGUGCCAGAUAACCUGCGCUCUCUGUCUGACCUUGCAUCACAAGGAUCCCUGAAAAUGUCCAUGUUUAAGCACAAUAUUUCUUGGGAGCAUUGCAUCGUCGGUGUCCAACCUAUUUCCUGAUAGAUAUCGUUCUCAGCCAUUAAAGAGGAGCAAGCUGGUUCUCAACCUUCCAUAUUGUUGCCGAAUGAGACCCCUCGCGAGGGCCAUGGUGAUGAUGUAAUAAAUAUUUGAACAGUUCUGAUUCUCGAGGACUGAUGACUUGGAUCGGGGACUGUAGAAAACAACAAACCAAAGAUGAAGAAUGGAGGAGAAAGAGAGAAAACCGAUUAAUAGAGAAAGAGAGAAAACCGAUUAAUAGCAGCCUCCAAAAUUGGUUGCAUAAUGUAAGAUUACAAUGGUUUAUAUAGUGCAAAACUAAGGAAACAUAAUAAGAUUAAACUACCCUUAACCUAUUAACUUAUUACUUUAACAUCCCCCUCAAACUCACGAUACUACGACAAGGAGCAACGAGAGUUUGACCAACAAAAAGCGUAAAUGAUAAAUCGAAUUUGACUUCAUGGCAAAGUCUACAAGCUGCAACGACGGAGAGCAACGAAAGGUAGGAAAAUGAUGCCGAACUGCAGAUAACUAAUGAAACCAUACAAUCUCAGCUAAACCCACUGCAGAUAACCAACGAAACCACACAAUCUCAACUAAACCAAACGGAUGCAAAUUUCAAAUUUCAAAUGAACUUGAUAUAUCAAUUCCAAGAACUGACUAUGCCAAAUUCCAAACUCCAGAUAGACUGGAAAAACGAAAUUUCUAAUCCCAUAAACUGGGCAAACAAACGAAAUUUUCAAAUCCCGUGAACCGGGCAUCAAACGAAAUUUUCAAUCCCCACAAAUUUCAAAUUCAAGCUCGACAAAUGCCAAAUUUCAGAUACACGAGAUCAACACCAAAACAAAUUUCCAAUGCAAACUAGGUCCAACAUUAAUUAACCGACCCAAUAAGCUGUCUAAUAGUACCAAAGCAGCCCAAAUCAAUCACAGAAACCAAAUUGCUGACCAAAGAAAUUUAACCCAAAAUUCAGCCCGUACAUAAUCAUCUUCCAUAAUGCCAUAAUGAGGAAAACUCCAAUUAAUCUGCUUUUUUUUUUUUUUUUUUAAGAGACUUCUCUAGCAGGCCUAAUUAAUUAGAGCCCAACCCUUUUUUUUCUCUCCCUUUUUUUUUUUUUAAACCCAAAUGCACAAAUUGAAAUCCCAAAAUACAAGGCCCAAAUCCAACAUUACCAAACUGCUGGCAAUCCACAGCCCACUACUUAGGCCCAAUUCAGCAGACCCAUCAAACAUUUCAAGCCCACUUACUCAAAAAUUAAAAUACCAGCCGAACUAAAAAAAAAACUAACCCAACAAGCCCAACACAACAAUUCCAAGCCAACUUGAACCAACUGGCCCAAUUUCAACAUACUAUAGGACCCAAAACCAAUCUACAGGCCAUAACCUACGAAAACAAACCUGGCCAAAUUUCCUCCAACUUCAUUUUCUCUAGGGCUGUGGCUACCUCUCGUCGACACCAACAAAAGUCAUAAUUCAGACAGAACACCAAUUUUUCUUCGAUUCGGACAGGCCACAGUUGCACCACGUUCCCAACUUUCAAGUCGUUCCUGUUCAGCAUAUCUAUCUAAUUUCCAGUCAGCAUGUAGGAUACGCUCUCCUUCCCAUUGCUUUUCUUCAUCGGCCAUCUCCUCAAAUCCACUUUGUCCCUUAUUAGCAAAGGAUCAAUAAUUGGUACAGAUAUGUGCUCCAGCUUGCCAUUGAAGCGUUUCAGAAGAUGGACUUUCUCUUCAUCCUUGAGAAACUCUCCUACAACUGAAUUUAGAGGAAUAGAAAGCCGGCUUUGUUGAGGUUCUGUAUCAGAUUUAUAGAGUCCCUUCUGUACCACCAAUAUCUCCUGUGAAAUACUUCUUCCAUUGGCCAGUUCUUGAAUUGCAUCCUUGAAUUCUUCAGGUAGCGAAGGGGGAGGAUCCGGUCCGGUGUUAAUUCUUUUCUUCACAACCCGAACUUCUUCUUCUCCUCCAUUGCUACGUCUUUUGGACUUAUUAUUUUGUUUCUACUUUUCACCCCAGAAGUUUCUGGGAUGUCAACUGUACUAUUAUCGAGAUUAUUCCUUCUAGCAAAAUCUUCUUCCAAAGUAAAGAAGAGAGAAAACCAAACCUGCAGCUUCUCCAUUUUUUUUUUCGCAGCCGCUAACAUAUCACAAAGUUUUGACCACCGGACGAGCGGCACAAGGCCGCUCGCCGGAGAAUGACAUCUUGCAAGUUUAAUCCAAAAUCAAACCCGCUCUGAUAUCAUAUAGAAAACAACAAACCAAAGAUGAAGAAUGGAGGAGAAAGAGAGAAAAUCGAUUGAUAACAGCCUCCAAACUUGGUUGCAUAAUGUAAGAUUACAAUGGUUUAUAUAGUGCAAAACUAAGGAAACAUAAUAAGACUAAACUACCCUUAACCUAAUUAACUUAUUACUUUAACACCAGCUUUCUACUUGGGCAAUAUUUUGGGUAUCAAUGGUUCAUUCUUCCGACAUUUACAGUAGAGGUAUGUUAUUUGUGUAGCUAAUGUUCUUAUCUAAUUAAUGGAGCUUUGAUAUUUUUCAAGCUUGCGCACAAACUUUCAUGUAAUUUAUCCUAGUUUUGAAGAGCAUAUUUUCGUGAAUAUUCCUUUAACUUGCUCAGGCUUGCCCCGUUAAUCACUACCAAUCUUUGUCACCCAAUUCCCCCAUCAGAGUGUACUUGUUGCGUAUAACUUAAAAGGUUUCAUGGAUUAUCUUCACUGCUUUUCGUAUGCUCUUAGAUUUCCUGUUGUACAAAACAUGUUCUUAGUCCUUGAAUGACAUCUGAGGCCUGAUCAGCAGUUUAAAUUUUGACUAAUUUUCUGAAGGUUCGAGAAUUGGAAAUAGUGGUCUGUGGAGUUGAAGAUAGUAGUGGAGGCAGCCAUGGCUACCUGUCAACGUAGUGAGUUGAUGGUGAUAUUGGUGGUAGGUAGUUCUACGCAGGGAAGUAGCGGUCGACUGUGAAAUUUGAUGGCUGAGUUGAAGAAAGUUAAGGGGGGUGGAGGCAGGGUUUGGGACAUGCUAAUGCACGGAGGUGAUGGUAGAUGAAGCGAUGGUUCUAAACAUGGAAACAAUGGCCUCUGCAAUUUGAUGGCAAGAGAUGAUGAAAGAUAAGUAGUGGAGUCGGAGUUGGCUUUCAGACGCGCGAUAAUGCAUGGAGGUGGAGGUCAAUUGCUAUAGAAAUGCAAUUAGCCAGUGACAGCACCACCACCAUCUUAGAAAUAAAACAUAAAAUAUAUUUUUUCCUAACCCACAUAACCAUCCAUCGCAGAUUCGCAGUAGAACCAACACAUGCAAUGGGCACCUCGCCAGCCCAUCUCCAUCCUUUUGCAAGAAUCAAAUCAUAACCCAGAUAAUAGAGAUUUGGUUCCAAGAAUCCGAAACCUUUUUAUGCGAUUUGAUUCUUGACACGAAUUGUGGAGGAUUUGUGAAUGUCCAGUUAUGGUGGUUGUUAUGCUACGAAGGGGGGGUGGUUUGGAGAAAAAUAUGGGACUGUUUGGGAGUGAUUUUGAGAAUUGAUAUUUUAACCGUUAGGAAAAAAAGUGAGCUCCACCUGUGAGAGAAGAAGUCAAAUAUGAUGGGGGCAGGGGUGGUUUGGAGAAAAAUAUGGGAUUAUUUGGGAGUGACUUUGAGAAUUGAUAUUUUGAUCGUUACGAAAAAAAUGGGGUCAAUCUGUGAGAGAAGAAGUCAAAUAUGAUGGGUAAAAUAGUGAAAUAACAGUCAAAAUUUUUUGGGCCAAAAAAUCACUCUCAAACAGGCCGUAUAUGUACAUAUUUCUUGGAUUAAUUUUUGUAAGGUGAUGGUGGUACCAUUGUCACCACCAAUAUGACUGCAUUUGUGGAGAUGAUAUUUGGCCGCUGAAGGGUGGGCGUGGGGUAGGCGAGUUUGGCGAUGGAGUCGAAAUAUUUACUUUUUAAGAUUCUUCAUUUUUAGGUGUUUAAUUAUUUCAAGUGUAAUUUAUUUGUAUUUUUGGAAAAUUAUGGGACUAUAUUUUCAAUUAUUCCUAAUUUUUGUUGUUUUAUUACUUUCUUUUAUUUCUGUUUAUUUAAAAAGGAGAUCAAGAAUGAUGAUUUUUUGAAAUGUUGGGACAGAUAAUGCGAAAGAAAAGAUCGAGGGUAUAUUUAUCAUAUUUUAUAAAUAUUGAGGACGAAAAGUGAAAAAUUUCCUUUAAACUUAUCCAUUUCAUCUCAAGUCUCAACUUUAUCUUCUCCAACAAUUUUCUCCCAUAAUCGGACACGUAAAAUUUUUUCUAAUCAAAUAAUAUUAAAAAAUCAAUUCAAUAAUUGUAGCAUCCUAUCCUACCAUACCCUAGGUUACAGAAAACGAUAUCACAUAAUGGAUAAACAUGAUUGGGUAUUAUUUUUAAAUCCGCGUCUUAAUCCGUACGCGUCAGCACCUGGUAUUGAUUCGGUGGGGCCGUCAUGACACGUGACAAAAUUUCCUUGCGGUAGCACGCGUCGUGCCAAGAACCAGUCGUUUGUUAAUUACUUCUUCCCGUUGAUUUUUAAAACCGACAUUUGACUUGAGAGAUAGGCUACGAUACGCAUGGUUCCACUCAAAUGAUUUCAUUCACACAAUUUAACCGGUGGGCAUUAUUUGGAAAAAGAAAUAUUUUAAAUAGUAAUUUUUAACAAAAUGUGUGAUUAAAAACUAGAAAAAUUUCAUGGUUACAUAUAUUAUUUAUUUGUAUAAAUGUAUGACGAAAAAUGAGUAUUUAGAAAAAAUAAUUUUCAAAUAAUGAUCAUCAGAGCUUACUUCCCAUUUCAUAAAAUAAUAAAUCGUCAAAAUUUAGUGCUUGUUCGAUAGGGAUUUUGAUAAUUGAUUUUUUAACCGUUAAUGAUAAAGUGAGUCCCACCUGUGAGAAGUAAAUACAAAAAUGACGACUGUAAUAGUGAAAUAACGAUCAAAAAAUUAAUUUUAAUUGACUUUUUAGUUGUACUAAACAAGCUCUUAAUUAUAACCACACUUCACGAUGAAUCCUUAAGUAUUAUUUAUCAUUUAUUUUUUAAUUUAUUAUUUUAUUUACAAAUUAAAUUAUUCAAACAUAUGAUUGAAAAUUAGCACUCUCAUUGUUGGCAAACACUCCAAUCAUCAGCCUAUGCAUGAUAAUCAUUCUUUGAGAAUUUUUUUGGGAAAAAAAUCAUAAAUCUGAUAUUAAGUAUGGAGAAUCCAAAAAUUAGGUUUUAAGUUUAUGAAAUACAAAAAUCAUGUUUAUUAGUUAAUUAAUUAAAAUAUUUAUAAAUUAAAUAUAAUAAAGUCACAGUUACACGAUUAAUGGUCACGAAUUCAUAAUUAUAGGUUGUAGAUUCAUUAACUGGUAACAUAUCGUUAAAUUAGUUGGUCACAAAUCAAAAAUUUUAUUGGUUACAGAUUAUUUUGAAAAUUAUUUCGAGGUCAUAUAUCAUUCAAAUUACAGGUCAAAUUUUUAUCUAUUGGUCACAGACGCCUAAAUGUUGGUCACAGACACCCCCACCCACCUACCACCACUGCAACAACAACUACCAACAUCAUCAACAACACAACAAUAAUUGGUCACCACCACCGUCAACAACUUCACAUGUACCUCCAACAAAUAUUGCCGUCAGAUCCACCAUCACCACUAAUAUCUGUACCUGUACAACCAACAAAAACUAUCUAAAACCCCCCAAUAACACUAAAACAACUCCCAAACCACCACAACACGACGCCACCAUUGCUGAAAGCCAUAGCAGGCCCAAACCACCACUACCACCACCACAAGCUUCGACACUGCCAUCACCGAAAAUCACAGUAGCCCCAAACCAGCUCUACCACUACCACAUCCCGAAGCCGACACUACUGAAAAUCACACCGGAGAUCAUAGCGACCAAGUUUUUAACACCACAAUGCUUACAUUCCUGACAAGCAGCCUCCACCACCACCACACCCCAACGUCUCCAUCUUCGAAAAUCACAGCAGUCCCAAACCACCACUAAUACCACCACUGAAAACCAGGCAGCUCUAAACCACUACUACCACCAUCACACCUCGACGCCGCCACACUAGUUGCUAUGGUGACCGCACUUGGGGAGAGAAAAAGGCAUCGCCGUUAGGUGGUAGUGACUGACAAGGAUACAGUGAAGUUAGAGAGAGACGAGAGAAGUGAGAGAAGGAAGAUGGAUUAAAAAUGAUUAGGGUUUGGGAGUUAAUUUGGAUAUUUAAUUAUUAUAUCAAUACCUGAUUUUUGCAUAAUAAAACUUGAUCCAUGAUUUUUGGAUUGUGAUCUUUAAAUCCCCGCUAUUAUGUAAUUUCCACAUUUUUUUCUACAUAUCAAUUUUCAAUCAUGUACUUACACAAUAAAAUAUUUUGUACGUAGAUUUAAUUUUUUUCUUAUUUUUUAAAUAUAUAUUUCUUAAAAAUGACUAUUCAAAAUAUUAUUUUGACCAAAUAAUAAUCAUCAAAUAGUGGCUUAAUAAAAAGAGUAUUGCUAUUUAACCUCACUGGGUGAUACAACGUGAUAUUAAUUGAUAGAUUCAUUUAAUUUCACAUUUCAUUUAAGCUAUUAUUUAAUUCCAUAUAAAUUUAAAAAAAAUUCUUAUUUUUUAAACAUAUAUUUCUUAAAAAUGACUAUUCAAAAUAUUAUUUUGACCAAAUAAUAAUCAUUAAACAGUGGCUUAAUAAAAAGAGUGUUGUUAUUUAGCCUCACUAGGUGAUACAACGUGACAUUAAUUGAUAAAUUCAUUUAAUUUCACAUUUCAUUUAAGCUAUCAUUUAAUUUCAUAUAAAUUGAUAUUGCAACCUCGGUGACACUACGUGUCUUUGCAAUGGUUUCAAAUAUUUCUAUCUUAAAAAAUAUUAAAUUAGUCACAUUUGUCAACCAAGCAAACUACAUCGUUAAUGUCUUCGACACGUAGUCAAUGAAUUGGAACCCUCCGGAAAAUUGCAUUUAUGGGUCUCCAUUGAAUUCAAAUUUUGUACGUUUUCUUUUUCAGCUGCCAGCUAUAUAAAGCCCUGUCUUCCAUUCCCACUCUCCAAAAUUCCUGAUUCGUAAUCUCUCUCUACAAAAAACGCGCACUCUCAUUUUAUAUAUAUCUAGAUACGCGCUUGUGUGUAUAUAUAGGUGUAUCGAUCUCUGUAGCAGUCUGUUACUGUGUAUACAAAUUUGCAGGGAGGAUCGACGCUAAAGAAAUUGAUCGGAGCUGUUCGGAUCGCGAUCAGGAGUGAAAGUUCGUUAUUCAGAUAAAUUUUGAUGUUAUUUUUCUGUCUUUCCUUGGUGUUGUUAUGACUUUGUGUUGACUUUGAAUUUUAAGGUAUGAAUUUUGAGGAAAUUUUAAAGAUUUGAGAGUUUUCGUGGACUAGAUGUGAAAAAAAAAAUGUGGAACUAAGUCUUCUUGGUUUACGAGAGAACAUCUGGGUAGAAUUGACGGGAGAUUCGAAUCUUCGCUUUAUGUGUAGUUAUCACUUGGAUUUCUUCUCUUAUCUGGUUUUCGGAUUUCUUCCGAAUCGAUCUGAAAAGAAGUUUUACUGUUUUUAAUUUUUUGAUAGAAUGGUAAUGGCUAUCAAACUGCAUCUCGCUUGGAUGUAACUGACUUCUCUCUCUCUCUCUCUCUGGGAGAGCUAUGCAUAAAUAAGUGUUUGUUUCAUGUUAUUGUAAAUCGAUCACAAGUACGUAAAUUUGGUAAAUUUCUGUCUAUGCAUGUAUCGCUGUUGAUUUGUAUGCCUGAUAUUUACGAAUAUCUGGUGUAUAUGUAAAUUUUCUCAUGAAAUGUUCAAAAUUGUUCGAUUCAGUCCCGAUGGAUGUCCCCCAACUCGAUCCUUAAUGAGGCUCGGCUUGUUGAAUUAGGAUCCGUGUGUCCUUGACUUGUCCUCUUGUUGAUCAAGUUUUUUUAUUAGCUUUGGUUAAUUGAUGGUUCUUGUGUGUUUUUGCUUUUACUGACUUGUCCUCUUGUUGAUCAAGUUUUUUUAUUAGCUUUGGUUAAUUGAUGGUUCUUGUGUGUUUUUGCUUUUACUAUACGGUUAAAAGAAUCCAAGGUGCUUAAGGAUGGAAACUUUCCUAGAUACAAUUAGUCACGCGAUAUUGCAGGAGCAAUAUGUUUAGAAUCGAGUAUGAUGCAUUUAUCACUUGUCCAAGAUAAUUUUUGUGAUUAUGGGGAUGAAAAUACAUCUUCCUGUCGCAUUUUCUCCUAAUCUAUUGAUAUUCUAACCAACUAAUUUCUUGCCAUUUAGUUAACUCUAUGAUCGAGUUUAUUGUGGAAAUGACAAAUCAGGUUUAUCGUCCAAGUGUCAGUUGCUGGUGGAUCUUUACAGUGUUGGAUCCACAUAGGAUUGUUUGUAAAUCUUUUCGACCUUGGUUCCGUAGGAGCAAGUUAGAAAGAUUGAGAGAUAGAACCAUCCGAUUUAAUUCGUUCUCAAUAGUCAUGAAAUGAUCAUCUGCUUUAGGAUGGAAGCUUUCCUAGAUACAAUUCGUCAUUCAAUAUUGCAGGAACAAUAUGUUUAGAAUUGAGUCAAUUGACUGAUGAUGCAUUUAUCACUUGUCCCAGGAUUUUUGUUGUGAUUAUAGGGAUGACAAUAUAUUUUCCUGUCGCAUUUUCUCCUAAUCUAUUGAUAUUCUAACCAAUUAAUUUCUUGCCAUUUAGUUAACUCUAUGUUCAAGUUUAUUGUGGAAAUGACAAAUCAGGUUUAUCGUCCAACUAUCAGUUGCUGGUGGAUCUUUACUCAGUAUAGGAUCCACAUAGGAUUGUUUGAAGCAAGAACUUUGAUUGUAAUUACUCUUUUUGACAUACUUUAGGUCACUGAUGAGAAUUGAUGUACGUUAAGUGGCCAAUGCUUCUAUCUAUAUUGUUAUUCUAUAGAUAAAACAGACCAUUUGCGAACUUAGAGAUUGUUCGUUGGAUAUUGGAUUUGCAAUCAAAUUAAGAUGAACUUCGACGCCCACUAUGUUUUAACAGGCUUGACGUGCCAUAUUCUUUUGUUUUAGUUCCUGCCAUCCACUAAUUAAGACAACUCAGCUUAUUUCAGGAAGAAUUAAUCAUUAUUGCUGCUUAUAUUUUUAGAACUAUUCUUUCAUUACAACCAGCCAAAUCUAAGUGUUACCUGACCCUACAUAAUGUGGCCGAAUUGGUUUCCUACUUAUAAUGGAGUAAGUGGUGAUGAGCUCUUGAAGUAAGGGUCUAGUUGUCUGGAAGAGGUAGAGAGAUCCUUGGUUGCAUAAGGCUCUCAUUGCUGGACGAGCUUGCAAUGUUACAAUAUCAUCAGCUAGAUUAGACAGUAAUAAUAACAGAAACAGUAGACAUGCUAGUUUUGAGAUUCGUGGAAGACACUAAGAGAAUAAAUUAACAUGGUAGUAGAUAGGGGAGAAGUCUCUCCACCUCAAAUUAGAGGCCUUUUUUCGUCAUUCCCUUCUUUUUCUUCUUUCCCCAUUUUAGUGUAAGUUUUUCCUCAAAGAAGACAUUGCGGAAUCAUGGAUUGAGGUAGGCCUCUUCUCAACGAACAAGGAACGUAACUGGUCCUACAAACUCACAAACUCCUUUUUGUUCUGUCUUAAGAAUGCAGUUGAUACAUUUAUCUAUUUGCUUUGACCAUAGGUUGAGCUGUCCAUGCUUAGAUGGAUUUGGACUCCAAGAAUCAAGUGUUGUGCAAUGGUUACUAUCCACUGUUGGAAGCUUUGGAAUUGUUGUAGAUCUACUUGUUUUGAUGAAUUCUCCUACUUGGAGUUUCCUGGCUGGAGCAGUUCAACCUUUGUUGGAUUUUGUUGUUGCUGAUUCAAUUGGUCUGCCGCGACAUGCAAGAAAGGCGUGGCGACCUGAAUAGAUAUGCAUGAACAGGCUUAAACAUCUCCUAAGUUAAUUUUUGAAUGCAGGUGC